AACGAACGCUGGCGGCAUGCCUAACACAUGCAAGUCGAACGAGACCUUCGGGUCUAGUGGCGCACGGGUGCGUAACGCGUGGGAACCUGCCUUUAGGUUCGGAAUAACUCAGAGAAAUUUGAGCUAAUACCGGAUAAUGUCUUCGGACCAAAGAUUUAUCGCCUUUAGAUGGGCCCGCGUAAGAUUAGCUAGUUGGUGGGGUAAAGGCCUACCAAGGCGACGAUCUUUAGCUGGUCUGAGAGGAUGAUCAGCCACACUGGGACUGAGACACGGCCCAGACUCCUACGGGAGGCAGCAGUGGGAAUAUUGGACAAUGGGCGAAAGCCUGAUCCAGCAAUGCCGCGUGAGUGAUGAAGGCCUUAGGUGAAAGCUCUUUUUACCCGAGAUGAUAAUGACAGUAUCGGGAGAAUAAGCUCCGGCUAACUCCGUGCCAG
This 434-nucleotide ribosomal RNA is filed under the name uncultured bacterium. RNAcentral's name for it is "bacterial SSU rRNA". It matches the Rfam family "Bacterial small subunit ribosomal RNA", at positions 29 to 511 of the family's 1533-position model. The record is from RNAcentral.